Budorcas taxicolor (takin) is the source of this 177-nucleotide long non-coding RNA. RefSeq lists it as uncharacterized. NCBI's taxonomy places the organism in Eukaryota, Metazoa, Chordata, Mammalia, Artiodactyla, Bovidae. The transcript has 3 exons. The record is from RefSeq and is a predicted model, not a curated record.
GUCAUUUCCAGUCCGGGCUUCCACACAGUCACGGAUGGAAUCCCAGAGUGCUGACUGAGGACACCUCUCUGAGAUGACCCAGAUGAUCCUCCUUUACAGGAGGAGGAGAAGCAAAUAGAACAGACAGAAGAGAGAUCAAGAGAGCGCAUGACACAGGGUGGUCACCGACUGAAGGAC